CUGCUGCAAACCGGAGAUCUCAGCCUGACCCUGAGAAACCUCACUGUCAGAGACUUCGGUAUCUACUCCUGCACUGUCCUCAAGGACGGAGACCCCAUAUGCUGCAAAAUAGUGCAGCUCAAGGUGAAAGGGAGAGGAUGGCUCGGGUUUUAAAGAAGAAAGCACCUUGAAACCGACGCCACCCUGAACACUGAACCAGCUUAAGGAUCUGAAAACGUCCUCCUCUCCUUCCUGUUCCUGUCCGGCUCCGUCACAGUUCCCACCACAUCUUCUGUACAAACACAAAACAGAACCAGAGAAGAGAC
Long non-coding RNA from Anoplopoma fimbria (sablefish), 305 nucleotides. RefSeq lists it as uncharacterized. Lineage: Eukaryota; Metazoa; Chordata; Actinopteri; Perciformes; Anoplopomatidae. The transcript is spliced from 3 exons. The record is from RefSeq and is a predicted model, not a curated record.